UGAUGCGGGACAAUCCUAAAAAGAAAAUCAAUCCUAAUAAUCAAGCUCUCUUCUGUUCAUCAACAACAAAUCACAUCCGGCCAGGGGCUCAUUAUUCCCAGGACAGACAGUAUAGUUGCCUAUACUCUGCUCAGGAGACGUGAUUGAUUGAUACGAGACUAAAGCGAGAUCAAUCUAAAUGAUACAAACGAAUGCCAUUCG
Molecule: long non-coding RNA, 201 nt
Filed under: Elaeis guineensis (African oil palm)
Lineage: Eukaryota; Viridiplantae; Streptophyta; Magnoliopsida; Arecales; Arecaceae
Description: long non-coding RNA (EGUI_LNC015888)
Source: RNAcentral